Molecule: ribosomal RNA, 110 nt
Filed under: Amphichthys cryptocentrus (Bocon toadfish)
Lineage: Eukaryota; Metazoa; Chordata; Actinopteri; Batrachoidiformes; Batrachoididae
Source: RNAcentral
ACUUAUGGCCAUACCACUCUGAAAACGCCUGAUCUCGGAAGCUAAGCAGAGUCGGGCCUGGUUAGUACUUGGAUGGGAGANNGCCUGGGAAUACCAGGUGCUGUAAGCCU